UGGGGAAUAUUGCACAAUGGGCGCAAGCCUGAUGCAGCCAUGCCGCGUGUGUGAAGAAGGCCUUCGGGUUGUAAAGCACUUUCAGCGAGGAGGAAGGUGGUGGACUUAAUACGUUCAUCAAUUGACGUUACUCGCAGAAGAAGCACCGGCUAACUCCGUGCCAGCAGCCGCGGUAAUACGGAGGGUGCAAGCGUUAAUCGGAAUUACUGGGCGUAAAGCGCACGCAGGCGGUUUGUUAAGUCAGAUGUGAAAUCCCCGGGCUCAACCUGGGAACUGCAUUUGAAACUGGCAAGCUAGAGUCUCGUAGAGGGGGGUAGAAUUCCAGGUGUAGCGGUGAAAUGCGUAGAGAUCUGGAGGAAUACCGGUGGCGAAGGCGGCCCCCUGGACGAAGACUGACGCUCAGGUGCGAAAGCGUGGGGCAGCAAACAGGAUUAGAUACCCUGGUAGUCCACGCUGUAAACGAUGUCGAUUUGGAGGUUGUGCCCUUGAGGCGUGGCUUCCGGAGCUAACGCGUUAAAGUCGACCGCCUGGGGGAGUACGG
Molecule: ribosomal RNA, 541 nt
Filed under: uncultured bacterium
Lineage: Bacteria
Description: partial 16S ribosomal RNA
Rfam family: Bacterial small subunit ribosomal RNA
Source: RNAcentral